This 253-nucleotide ribosomal RNA is filed under the name uncultured bacterium. RNAcentral describes it as "partial 16S ribosomal RNA". It matches the Rfam family "Bacterial small subunit ribosomal RNA", at positions 524 to 776 of the family's 1533-position model. The record is from RNAcentral.
UACGUAGGGGGCGAGCGUUGUCCGGAUUUAUUGGGCGUAAAGAGCGUGUAGGCGGCCAGGUAGGUCUGCUGUGAAAACUCGAGGUUCAACCUCGAGACGUCGGCGGAAACCAUCUGGCUAGAGUCCGGAAGAGGAGAGUGGAAUUCCUGGUGUAGCGGUGAAAUGCGUAGAUAUCGUAAGGAAGACCAGUGGCGAAGGCGGGUCUCUGGACAGUUCCUGACGCUGAGGCACGAAAGCCAGGGGAGCAAACGGG